CCUACGGGAGGCAGCAGUGGGGAAUCUUGCGCAAUGGGCGAAAGCCUGACGCAGCCAUGCCGCGUGAAUGAUGAAGGUCUUAGGAUUGUAAAAUUCUUUCACCGGGGACGAUAAUGACGGUACCCGGAGAAGAAGCCCCGGCUAACUUCGUGCCAGCAGCCGCGGUAAUACGAAGGGGGCUAGCGUUGCUCGGAAUUACUGGGCGUAAAGGGAGCGUAGGCGGAUAGUUUAGUCAGAGGUGAAAGCCCAGGGCUCAACCUUGGAAUUGCCUUUGAUACUGGCUAUCUUGAGUACGGAAGAGGUAUGUGGAACUCCGAGUGUAGAGGUGAAAUUCGUAGAUAUUCGGAAGAACACCAGUGGCGAAGGCGACAUACUGGUCCGUUACUGACGCUGAGGCUCGAAAGCGUGGGGAGCAAACAGGAUUAGAUACCCUGGUAGUCCACGCUGUAAACGAUGAGUGCUAGUUGUCGGCAUGCAUGCAUGUCGGUGACGCNGCUACGCAUAGCACNCCGCCGUGGGAGGUACGGUCGCGAGAAGUUAAACUUAAAUAGUUAAGUUAGUACGGUUCGUUGAGACGUUGCCGACGGACGACGACGAGGGAGGAGG
RNAcentral lists this ribosomal RNA (606 nucleotides) under uncultured bacterium. RNAcentral's name for it is "bacterial SSU rRNA". The stretch from base 1 to 514 matches the Rfam family "Bacterial small subunit ribosomal RNA", at positions 338 to 873 of the family's 1533-position model. The record is from RNAcentral.